This is an RNA transcript of Sapajus apella (tufted capuchin), 696 nucleotides long. It is a transcript of the gene named putative golgin subfamily A member 8D, with no coding region annotated. The transcript has 4 exons. The record is from RefSeq and is a predicted model, not a curated record. NCBI's taxonomy places the organism in Eukaryota, Metazoa, Chordata, Mammalia, Primates, Cebidae.
UGUAAAAACUGUAAUGUAGGUUGUGACUGUAGGGGUUUGUAGUUCUCAUGGGUAUUACUGCUCUUUUUUCCCACAGUUAACAGAAUUUCAACAAAGAAACAGCCCUGCUGUUCCAACACGAGCGAGACGGAGAAAGAAAAGAAACAACAAUAGCCCUGAGACAGGCACUUCUGAUGGUUGCCAGUCACCAUGCCAUUCAGCAGCAGGUGGUCCCAAGGAGGGCCCUGCACCAUGUGCCACCAUGAAAGAUCCAGAGCCCUCGAGCCGCUGUGGAGCAGUCCUUGAGCAGCAGUUACAGCAGUUUCUACAGGAGCGGGAACUGCUAAAAGCACAGGUGGCAGAGGUGACGGAGUCUCUUAAGAAAGCUCAGCUAGAAAGAGACACAUACGCUCAACAGCUCAAAACAGAGAGGGCGCGGUGGCAGCAGCAAUUGCUGAAAAUGGCAGGAGAAGUGAGAGCUGACCCUUCAGCCCCCACCUUAGAUGGCUCACUGGAUCUUCCUGGGCAUCUGUAAAAAGAGAAUAGUCCAGCCAGGGGUGGUCACGGGACUGGGCUUUGUGGAGCUGGGGGCGGAGAGGGAGAUGGUAGCCUGUCCAGCCACCAGCCCCUCUCUCCAGGGCCCUUUCCCCCUGUGCUUUGGGCAGAUUGAAAUAUUCAAAAUGGAGAAAAGACAGGACGCAAUUAAAAUCGAGGAGC